UGGGGAAUAUUGGACAAUGGGCGAAAGCCUGAUCCAGCCAUGCCGCGUGUGUGAAGAAGGUCUUCGGAUUGUAAAGCACUUUAAGUUGGGAGGAAGGGCAGUAAAUUAAUACUUUGCUGUUUUGACGUUACCGACAGAAUAAGCACCGGCUAACUCUGUGCCAGCAGCCGCGGUAAUACAGAGGGUGCAAGCGUUAAUCGGAAUUACUGGGCGUAAAGCGCGCGUAGGUGGUUCGUUAAGUUGGAUGUGAAAUCCCCGGGCUCAACCUGGGAACUGCAUUCAAAACUGACGAGCUAGAGUAUGGUAGAGGGUGGUGGAAUUUCCUGUGUAGCGGUGAAAUGCGUAGAUAUAGGAAGGAACACCAGUGGCGAAGGCGACCACCUGGACUGAUACUGACACUGAGGUGCGAAAGCGUGGGGAGCAAAACAGGAUUAGAUACCCUGGUAGUCCACGCCGUAAACGAUGUCAACUAGCCGUUGGGAGCCUUGAGCUCCUUAGUGGCGCAGCUAACGCAUUAAGUUGACCGCCUGGGGAGUACGGCCGCAAGGUUAAAAGCU
This 557-nucleotide ribosomal RNA is filed under the name uncultured bacterium. RNAcentral's name for it is "partial 16S ribosomal RNA". It matches the Rfam family "Bacterial small subunit ribosomal RNA", at positions 355 to 901 of the family's 1533-position model. The record is from RNAcentral.